Trachemys scripta elegans is the source of this 2987-nucleotide long non-coding RNA. RefSeq lists it as uncharacterized. The transcript is spliced from 4 exons. Lineage: Eukaryota; Metazoa; Chordata; Testudines; Emydidae. The record is from RefSeq and is a predicted model, not a curated record.
GUCCCCCCCAUUGCCUGCAGCCCUGCGCUCCACCCCAGCCUUGCUUCCGCUCCCUGAUAGCUCCAGCCCCUGGCUCGGAAUCCUCCCUUCUCCCCAGCAGCAGCCCCUGGGCAGGGGCUCUGGGUAGCCCCUGGGGUAUUUAUUAUUUCCCCCCUUUUACCGAUGGGGUAACACUGGAGCACAGAGAGGUGAAUGACUGUCGCAGGGACACCGUGAGUGAUGGGAGGUUGGAGGAGCUAAAAUCCAGGAGUCCUGAUUCCCAGGCCACUGAUCUGACCACUAGAACCUGACUCCCCUGCAAAACUGCCAGUGAGGCUAGACUUUCCAGAGGGUUGAUUUGUUUUAAUUUGGUUUAAUCUGUUACUGUAGUAGCACUAUUAGAGGUGGGGAGCAGCUAGAACAUACUCACUAUGGCUAUUCCCAGCUGGCAAUUUAGAACAGCCCUCGGGUUCCAAUAUUGGUUCCUUGAGAGCUCCCCUGCUGGCUUCAGAAGAAAACCUGGCCAGUAAGUAUUCAGUAGGAACAAAAGUUUUUUCUCACCUGACAAAGUUAUGAUGUUAUGUUUGUGGUUAGCUGAUGGUAGCUUCUUUUUGAUUUCUUUGGUCUCAUUCUUCCCCUGUUCACCACCUCCCCCAACCUCCAGACUCCUCUGGUAACUAUUAAGCUUGGCUGCCUUUUUUAAUUAUAAGCUUUGUAUAUUUUGAAGUACUGAGGAUUUGGGGCAUGGAGGAAGGUUUCUCCUACAUAUUUAUAACUUCUGUAGCAUUUCCCAUGCAGCCUACCAGAAAUGAAUGAUGAUGACCUUAAGGAUCUGAAAGAAUUUCCCUGUGAGGAUGUGCUAUAACUAGAGCAGCUGUAAGUGAACAGGAAUGGGAGAGUACCGGAUUCUUCUCUUGAUGUGCAUUGAAAACUAACUCCCAGACCACUACUUAGCAGUUUAACCUUGUGUCAAAACCAAACAUGAGCUAACUGCCUUAAAAUGAUGGAUAAAAUCAGAAAGCUGAUGAUAAAAAGAACCACUUGUGGAAUGAGACAAGAAUUUGGCUUGCACCUAGAAAAGUGUCAAAUCAAAACGGGGUUUUAUUUCAUUGAACUAGACAUUGAGAUGAUUUAGGAGACGAGAGUGAAAGAUAUGCCUUCCACAUGUCUCUUUCUGCUCUUGCUUUCCCCCUCCGGCUGCCACUGCCGCCUUCUCCUUUUGGCUUUCAACCUGGCUAUCGUUCUGUCUUCUCUAUGAUGAUAUCUGGACUUGUCUACACACAGAGCUACUCGGUUAACUAGAAGUUAUUUUAAACUGAGCUGGUUAAACCAAUGCAAAAGGCACACUUAUUUGGUUAAGAGUGGCUUAUUUUGCUUUAUCUUAAUUAGAUUAGGAACAGAUGUUAGCUAAACAGAAACAAGUCACUCCUAUCUGAAAUAGGAGUCUCUACACUGUUACAUCAGUUCAACUAAACUGGUUCAAGUUUGUGUAAAGACAACUCCUCUAUCCUACUUUCUUUUUCUUCUCUUUAUCCUCUUUCACUCCUGGGGCAGAUUAAUAUAAUGGUAGGGAUGCAUACAAAAUUGAGGGUUCCGAUAUAAUGCCUCCUUUAGGGGGGGAGGCAUAAUGGCACUAGUACAGACAGCAACUGCAUUAUGAGAUUUUAGGACCAGGUAAGUAACUUUCACAUCAGUAGGAAUUGGUCCUUCUGAAGAGUACAACCCAUAACACAUUUAAAUGCAUUGUGUAGUCUCUUCCCUGCCCCCCAACACAGCACUAAUGGAAUUGAAUUGUUAGCAUUUCACACCAUCUGCAACAGUAUCUUAUUUAGGUGUGUGCAUUAGUUCGGUCUCUUUCAUGUAGAGUUUUCCAAUUACUUUCCACUUUCAGGAAAACCUUCCUGGUGCAUCUCAAAUCCAAUCAAAUCCCAGGAGUACUUCAUAGGAAGACCAGGGAUUUUAUUUACUCCCCUAACAUCACUGUGAAUGUUCUCAUGGAAUACUGGGGAUGUUGGGGCUAGGAAGCAGACAUAGAUUGUAUGUAUUCCUUUUCCCCCCUCCCUGCCCCAUGCUGAGCCUUCCAGAAGUAUCUCCUGCAAAAUGCUUCUGGCAUCUGCUGCCUCCAAAGGAAAGAACCCGUAUCUGAAAUUCAUAUCUGGAUCUCCAGUGCUUACCUAAAAGUCACUGACCUGGUCCUAAAAAACUCCUUAUUGUAGUUGGUACCAGCUCGGCAGCUUUCCUGUCACAGUGAUGGACAAAGGGACCUAUUUGGCAGGACCAAUUCAGAAGCAGCCGAUCUGGCAGCAUGACUGAUAACUGCAGUAAGGAAACUGUUUGAGUAGCAAGCUUCCACCAGUAUGUUCCUUUGAAAGGAAAUUCAAUAGCACAUUGUCAAGCUGCUCCAGCUAACCGGUCUGCCCCCUAUCUCUGACACGUUUUCCAGAAUUCUGUAAUGAGUUCCAUCUGGAGCUUUCUUAGGCUGCAGAUGUUCUGAUUAAUCAGUCUCCAGUACUGAUGACAUCCUGAUAGCCAGCGGUAUAUCGUAUUCUUCACUUUGGGAGAGAUCGCUCUUUCUGGCACCAAUCACCAUCACAUUCCCUUCUCCCUGGUGAACACUGAGGCACAUAGUUCACCAUCGAGUUCAUUUGAAUUAGUAGCUCAAUAGAGAGAGAAAGACAGAGGACGUUGCUGCACAAUAAACAGUUGGGAGGGGUCCAAGAAUAUGGGAUGACACUGAUCCCUCUGCAGUGGGCCAACACAGAGAUAAUCCACCACUUAAGACUUUGAAAUAGCGUUUAAAUGGGACUUAAGUGCUGCAGGUUUUCUACACCGGAGGGGAAACUGAGGUACCAGGAGACUUGCCCAAAGUCAUCCAGCAAACCAGUGGCAGAGUUGGGAAUCUUACUCAGGCCUCCUUAGUUUGCCUUGACCUUAGUUUCACCCACUCAUUUUUGUUGCUCUUUUCAGAACCUUUUCCAAUUCCAAUAUAUCUUUUUUUGAGAUGGGGC